This 1035-nucleotide ribosomal RNA is filed under the name Triticum aestivum (bread wheat). RNAcentral's name for it is "partial small subunit ribosomal RNA". The record is from RNAcentral. Lineage: Eukaryota; Viridiplantae; Streptophyta; Magnoliopsida; Poales; Poaceae.
AUGGACCGCUCCCGGCCGCUCUGGGAGCUCCACUUCCUCAACUACCCGACCACUGAGGCGACGUCCACCGUGGUGAUCCGUGUGCAUCACUCCCUCGGCGACGGCAUGUCGCUGCUCACCCUCCUCAUGGCGUCCCCGCGCAGCGCCGCCGACCCGUCGAGGCUGCCGGCCAUGCCGGCGCUGCCCGCUCGCUCUGGCGCCAUCUACGCGCGACAGCGGCCCCCGUGGUCUGCAGGCGCUCUGGCGUUCGUCACGUGGGCUUGGUCGUAUGCCAUGCUCGCGUGGCACACCGUGGUGGACGUGACGCUCUUCGUCGCCACAAUCAUGUUCGUCAGGGACCCACAGACACUGUUCAAGCCUGCCGACGGCGGCGGCGGCGAGCUCCCCCGCCGCAAGCGCUUCGUGCACCGGAGCCUUAGCCUCGACGACGUCAAGCUCCUGAAACAUGCCAUGAACUGCGUACAAACAGUGGUGAUAGUUGGAGUGACUUCCGCUGCUCUGUCGCGAUACUAUUUCCGAAAAUCUGGUGACACUAAUACCAAAAUUAUAUGUUUGCGAUCGAUCCUCCUUGUGAACAUCAGGCCAACUAGUAGCCUACAGGAAUAUGUCAAUAUGAUGGAGUCUGGUAAGAGCAACGAUGUGACACGGAGAAAUCAACUUGGCUACAUAAUCCUACCAUUUCAGAUUGUUGUGCACAAAGAUCCACUUGAAUAUAUUCACAAGGCCAAAAAGAUUGCUGAUAGGAAGAAAAGCUCACUGGAAGUGAUGUUUACGCAUAUGCUUGCCGAAGUUAUAAUCAAAACUCUUGGUGUGAAGGCUGCAGGUGUUAUUUUCCACCGUAUGAUAUCACACACGACCAUAUCAUUUUCGAACAUGAUUGGGCCAGCAAAGCAGGUAGAGUUCUAUGGGCACCCAGUUGUCUCCAUUGCGCCUAGCGUCUACGGUCCGCCAGAAGCUCUGACGGUGCACUACCAGAGUUACAGUAACACCAUCAAGGUAAUUCUAGCUGUUGAUGAGGCACACUUUCCAGAUCAU